AUGAACGCUGGCGGCGUGCCUAAUACAUGCAAGUCGAGCGAACGGACGAGAAGCUUGCUUCUCUGAUGUUAGCGGCGGACGGGUGAGUAACACGUGGAUAACCUACCUAUAAGACUGGGAUAACUUCGGGAAACCGGAGCUAAUACCGGAUAAUAUUUUGAACCGCAUGGUUCAAAAGUGAAAGACGGUCUUGCUGUCACUUAUAGAUGGAUCCGCGCUGCAUUAGCUAGUUGGUAAGGUAACGGCUUACCAAGGCAACGAUGCAUAGCCGACCUGAGAGGGUGAUCGGCCACACUGGAACUGAGACACGGUCCAGACUCCUACGGGAGGCAGCAGUAGGGAAUCUUCCGCAAUGGGCGAAAGCCUGACGGAGCAACGCUGCGUGAGUGAUGAAGGUCUUCGGAUCGUAAAACUCUGUUAUUAGGGAAGAACAUAUGUGUAAGUAACUGUGCACAUCUUGACGGUACCUAAUCAGAAAGCCACGGCUAACUACGUG
Molecule: ribosomal RNA, 496 nt
Filed under: uncultured bacterium
Lineage: Bacteria
Description: partial 16S ribosomal RNA
Rfam family: Bacterial small subunit ribosomal RNA
Source: RNAcentral